UAAAAAUGAAUUAUAUUAAUUUUUAAGUAUUAAAGAAUAAAAUUUUUGAAAUUUAAAAAAUUUGGCAGUAAUUUAAGUAUAUUCAGAGGAACUUGUUUAUUAAAUGAUAAUCCACAAUAUAUCUUUCUUAAUUUUGAUAAAUUUGUAUAUCGUCGUCAUCAGAAUUUCUUUAAAGAGGAAAAAUUUUCUAAAAUAAAUAAAAAAUAAUUAUGUCAGAUCAAGGUGCAGUUUAUAAUUAAGUUAAAAAUGAGUUACAAUAAAAUUAUUUGUGGAGAAAAUAAUGAAAAAUUUUAUGAAAAUGGAUUUGAUAGUAAAUUAAUUAAAGGUAGAUUAAUUGAUUUUAUAAUUAAAUUGUGU
RNAcentral lists this ribosomal RNA (357 nucleotides) under Plecia sp. DK-2014. RNAcentral describes it as "partial 12S ribosomal RNA". Lineage: Eukaryota; Metazoa; Arthropoda; Insecta; Diptera; Pleciidae. The record is from RNAcentral.